Molecule: long non-coding RNA, 573 nt
Filed under: Chinchilla lanigera (long-tailed chinchilla)
Lineage: Eukaryota; Metazoa; Chordata; Mammalia; Rodentia; Chinchillidae
Description: lncRNA (ENSCLAG00000025972.1)
Source: RNAcentral
AUGAAGGAUCUGUGCCAGCAGACUGAGGAAUCUCCACUGGAGCCAGGAAGCGACCCUCCAGAUUGGUGUCCCUUCGAGGAAUCAUCCUCCUCAUCAUCACCGUUAUCCUGGCUGUCACUCUGGCCAUCAGCAAGGACCACCACCAGCAGCAACAAUCACCAUUGUUGUCAAAGUGGAUACUACGGGGCUAGAUCAGUGGUUCUCAAAAUGUAGUUCUGCACCAGAAGCAUUAGAUUCACUUAGCAACUUGUCAGAAAUCAAGCAAGCCCAGUAGGUGGUUGUGAUGUACAAUGAAUCUUGAACACCACUGUGCUAGACUGUGCCAAGGGCUUUUAAUGUUUUAUCUCAUUUGUUCCUCAGAAUUGCUCUCUGUGAUAAGCACCAUUAUAUUCAUUUUGAGAAAAUUGAGACGUAGUGAGGUUAAGUAACUUCACCAAGGUCACACAGCUUGUAAGGGGUAUAACGAGGUCCUGGAACACAUUUGUUUUACUGCACUGUACCACAUUUUCAGCGGGAGCAAAAUUUGUCUCUGCUUAUCUGCACAAAUUCUCUGAAAAUAAAAGUAAAUUUUCC